UGCGAACUCCUACGGGAGGCAGCAGUGGGGAAUUUUGGACAAUGGGGGCAACCCUGAUCCAGCAAUGCCGCGUGAGUGAAGAAGGCCUUCGGGUUGUAAAGCCCUUUUGUCAGGGAAGAAACGGUAGUAGCUAAUAUCUAUUACUAAUGACGGUACCUGAAGAAUAAGCACCGGCUAACUACGUGCCAGCAGCCGCGGUAAUACGUAGGGUGCAAACGUUAAUCGGAAUUACUGGGCGUAAAGCGUGCGCAGGCGGUUGUGUAAGUCAGAUGUACAAUCCCCGGGCUCAACCUGGGAAUUGCAUUGGAGACUGCACGGCUAGAGUGUGUAAGAGGUGGGUAGAAUUCCACGUGUAGCAGUGAAAUGCGUAGAUAUGUGGAGGAAUACCGAUGGCGAAGGCAGCCCCCUGGGAUAACACUGACGCUCAUGCACGAAAGCGUGGGGAGCAAACAGGAUUAGAUACCCGAGUAGUCCAGAUG
This 479-nucleotide ribosomal RNA is filed under the name uncultured bacterium. RNAcentral's name for it is "bacterial SSU rRNA". It matches the Rfam family "Bacterial small subunit ribosomal RNA", at positions 330 to 801 of the family's 1533-position model. The record is from RNAcentral.